CCCACUAUGCUUAGAUGUAAACCAAGGCAGCAACCACAUCCCACUGCCCGCCAGAGCACUACAAGUGAAAAACUUAAAACUCAAAGGACUUGACGGCAUUCCAUACCACACUAGAGGAGCCUGUCCUAUAAUCGAUAACCCACGCUUCACCUAACCUGUUCUUGCACAAACAUCAGCCUAUAUACCGCCGCCCACCGCCCGCCUUACAAAAGCACCACAAGCGAGCCAACCAGCCAACACUAAAACGUCAGGUCAAGGUGUAGCUUACGAACAGGAAGAGAUGGGCUACAUUUUCUAACGACAGAAAACCACCACCUGCACCAUGAAACAAGUGCACUAAAGGAGGAUUUAGCAGUAAGCCACGCAAGAACUGCCUGACUGAACCCCGCCCUGGAAUGCGCACAC
This 405-nucleotide ribosomal RNA is filed under the name Hemidactylus turcicus (Mediterranean house gecko). RNAcentral's name for it is "partial 12S ribosomal RNA". It matches the Rfam family "Bacterial small subunit ribosomal RNA", at positions 786 to 1388 of the family's 1533-position model. The record is from RNAcentral. Lineage: Eukaryota; Metazoa; Chordata; Lepidosauria; Squamata; Gekkonidae.